This 835-nucleotide ribosomal RNA is filed under the name Staphylococcus devriesei. Its description in RNAcentral is "bacterial SSU rRNA". It matches the Rfam family "Bacterial small subunit ribosomal RNA", at positions 28 to 844 of the family's 1533-position model. Lineage: Bacteria; Bacillati; Bacillota; Bacilli; Caryophanales; Staphylococcaceae. The record is from RNAcentral.
GAUGAACGCUGGCGGCGUGCCUAAUACAUGCAAGUCGAGCGAACAGAUAAGGAGCUUGCUCCUUUGACGUUAGCGGCGGACGGGUGAGUAACACGUGGGUAACCUACCUAUAAGACUGGGAUAACUUCGGGAAACCGGAGCUAAUACCGGAUAAUAUUUCGAACCGCAUGGUUCGAUAGUGAAAGAUGGUUUUGCUAUCACUUAUAGAUGGACCCGCGCCGUAUUAGCUAGUUGGUAAGGUAACGGCUUACCAAGGCGACGAUACGUAGCCGACCUGAGAGGGUGAUCGGCCACACUGGAACUGAGACACGGUCCAGACUCCUACGGGAGGCAGCAGUAGGGAAUCUUCCGCAAUGGGCGAAAGCCUGACGGAGCAACGCCGCGUGAGUGAUGAAGGUCUUCGGAUCGUAAAACUCUGUUAUUAGGGAAGAACAUACGUGUAAGUAACUGUGCACGUCUUGACGGUACCUAAUCAGAAAGCCACGGCUAACUACGUGCCAGCAGCCGCGGUAAUACGUAGGUGGCAAGCGUUAUCCGGAAUUAUUGGGCGUAAAGCGCGCGUAGGCGGUUUUUUAAGUCUGAUGUGAAAGCCCACGGCUCAACCGUGGAGGGUCAUUGGAAACUGGAAAACUUGAGUGCAGAAGAGGAAAGUGGAAUUCCAUGUGUAGCGGUGAAAUGCGCAGAGAUAUGGAGGAACACCAGUGGCGAAGGCGACUUUCUGGUCUGUAACUGACGCUGAUGUGCGAAAGCGUGGGGAUCAAACAGGAUUAGAUACCCUGGUAGUCCACGCCGUAAACGAUGAGUGCUAAGUGUUAGGGGGUUUCCGCCCCUUAGU